UCUUUUGACCUUUGACCUCAAAUCA
RNAcentral lists this ribosomal RNA (25 nucleotides) under Physalacria lateriparies. RNAcentral's name for it is "partial 28S large subunit ribosomal RNA". Lineage: Eukaryota; Fungi; Basidiomycota; Agaricomycetes; Agaricales; Physalacriaceae. The record is from RNAcentral.